RNAcentral lists this ribosomal RNA (1394 nucleotides) under uncultured Dehalobacterium sp. Its description in RNAcentral is "bacterial SSU rRNA". It matches the Rfam family "Bacterial small subunit ribosomal RNA", at positions 13 to 1361 of the family's 1533-position model. The record is from RNAcentral. Lineage: Bacteria; Bacillati; Bacillota; Clostridia; Eubacteriales; Peptococcaceae.
UUGAUCCUGGCUCAGGACGAACGCUGGCGGCGUGCUUAACACAUGCAAGUCGAACGGACCUUUAUUGAUUGAAGUUUUCGGAUGGAUUUUAAUAAAGGUUAGUGGCGGACGGGUGAGUAACGCGUGGGUAACCUGCCCUAAAGACCGGGACAACAGUUGGAAACGAUUGCUAAUACCGGAUGUGCUAUAUUUGCGGCAUCGCAGAUAUAGGAAAUGGAGGCCUCUAUUUAUAAGCUCCCACUUUAGGAUGGACCCGCGUCUGAUUAGCUAGUUGGUAGGGUAACGGCCUACCAAGGCUGCGAUCAGUAGCCGGCCUGAGAGGGUGAACGGCCACACUGGGACUGAGACAGCCCAGAUCUACGGGAAGGGCAGGCAGUGGGGAAUCUUCCGCAUGGGCGAAAGCCUGACGGAGCAACGCCGCGUGAAUGAAGAAGGCCUUCGGGUCGUAAAGUUCUGUCUUUAGGGAAGAAAGGGUAUACGCAAAUAGUGUAUGCUUUGACGGUACCUUACGAGGAAGCUCCGGCUAACUACGUGCCAGCAGCCGCGGUAAUACGUAGGGAGCAAGCGUUGUCCGGAAUUACUGGGCGUAAAGGGCGUGUAGGCGGGAAUGCAAGUCAGAUGUGAAAACUCCGGGCUCAACUUGGAGAUUGCAUUUGAAACUGUGUUUCUUGAGGGCAGGAGAGGAAAGUGGAAUUCCUAGUGUAGCGGUGAAAUGCGUAGAUAUUAGGAGGAACACCAGUGGCGAAGGCGACUUUCUGGACUGAACCUGACGCUGAGGCGCGAAAGCGUGGGUAGCAAACGGGAUUAGAUACCCCGGUAGUCCACGCCGUAAACGAUGAAUACUAGGUGUAGGAGGUAUCGACCCCUUUCUGUGCCGCAGCUAACGCAAUAAGUAUUCCGCCUGGGGAGUACGAUCGCAAGAUUAAAACUCAAAGGAAUUGACGGGGACCCGCACAAGCGGUGGAGCAUGUGGUUUAAUUCGACGCAACGCGAAGAACCUUACCAGGGCUUGACAUCCCUCGCUAUCCUGUGAAAGCAGGAGUUUCUUCCUUCGGGAAGGACGAGGAGACAGUGUGCAUGUUGUCGUCAGCUCGUGUCGUGAGAUGUCUGGGUUAAGUCCCGCAACGAGCGCAACCCCUAUUUCCAGUUGCCAGCACAUAAUGGUGGGAACUCUGGAGAAACCGCCGGUGACAAAUCGGAGGAAGGUGGGGAUGACGUCAAAUCAUCAUGCCCUUUAUGUCCUGGGCUACACACGUGCUACAAUGGUCGGUACAGAGGGUCGCUAAGCCGCGAGGUGGAGCCAAUCCCAAAAAGCCGGUCUCAGUUCGGAUUGUAGGCUGCAACCCGCCUGCAUGAAGUCGGAAUCGCUAGUAAUCGCGAGUCAGCAUAUCGCG